Molecule: unclassified non-coding RNA, 149 nt
Filed under: uncultured fungus
Lineage: Eukaryota; Fungi
Description: sequence contains ITS1, 5.8S rRNA gene
Source: RNAcentral
CAGAGUUGAAAAACUCCCAAACCCCUUGUGAAUCUACCUAUCGUUGCUUCGGCAGGCGGCCCCUGGGAGGGGCUGUAGCCUUUCGGGGUGCCUGCCGGAGGUAUGAAACUCUAUAUCUACUGUAUUCUGAGCAUAAAUUAAAUAAGUCA